UGUUUGUUAGUACAGUCUGUGUUAAGAGAAAAAUUCUAGAAUGCAACGGGUACAUUAGUGACGUGGCGUAACAAACCAAUCAAAUUAAUCCUUUUAAGAAUAUAUGUCCCAUCAUGAUUGUAAAAAGGUAUUUUUAUUGUACUUUUGUUUAAAAAGAAGGAAUGUGAUUGGCUUGUUAUUGAUGACGUGGUGUAAGUGUGACAGUGUAGAAUUCCUCGUGUUAAGUGUAUUUCUGAUCACUUCUAUCAGAUCAACUAUUAGCUAUCAUUUCAUGGAUUAAAUUCCAACAUUAUGU
RNAcentral lists this long non-coding RNA (295 nucleotides) under Ananas comosus (pineapple). Its description in RNAcentral is "long non-coding RNA (ACOM_LNC006225)". Lineage: Eukaryota; Viridiplantae; Streptophyta; Magnoliopsida; Poales; Bromeliaceae. The record is from RNAcentral.